RNAcentral lists this ribosomal RNA (763 nucleotides) under uncultured bacterium. RNAcentral's name for it is "bacterial SSU rRNA". It matches the Rfam family "Bacterial small subunit ribosomal RNA", at positions 33 to 773 of the family's 1533-position model. The record is from RNAcentral.
ACGCUGGCGGCGUGCCUAAUACAUGCAAGUCGAACGCACGAAGUUGAAGAGCUUGCUCUUUAACCAAGUGAGUGGCGGACGGGUGAGUAACACGUGGGUAACCUGCCCAUUAGAGGGGGAUAACAUUCGGAAACGGAUGCUAAUACCGCAUAGUUUCAGGAAUCGCAUGAUUCUUGAAGGAAAGGUGGCUUCGGCUACCACUAAUGGAUGGACCCGCGGCGUAUUAGCUAGUUGGUGAGGUAAUGGCUCACCAAGGCAAUGAUACGUAGCCGACCUGAGAGGGUGAUCGGCCACACUGGGACUGAGACACGGCCCAGACUCCUACGGGAGGCAGCAGUAGGGAAUCUUCCGCAAUGGACGAAAGUCUGACGGAGCAACGCCGCGUGAGUGAAGAAGGUUUUCGGAUCGUAAAACUCUGUUGUUAAAGAAGAACAAGGAUGAGAGUAACUGCUCGUCCCCUGACGGUAUUUAACCAGAAAGCCACGGCUAACUACGUGCCAGCAGCCGCGGUAAUACGUAGGUGGCAAGCGUUGUCCGGAUUUAUUGGGCGUAAAGCGAGCGCAGGCGGUUCUUUAAGUCUGAUGUGAAAGCCCCCGGCUCAACCGGGGAGGGUCAUUGGAAACUGGAGAACUUGAGUGCAGGAGAGGAGAGUGGAAUUCCACGUGUAGCGGUGAAAUGCGUAGAUAUGUGGAGGAACACCAGUGGCGAAGGCGACUCUCUGGUCUGUAACUGACGCUGAGGCUCGAAAGCGUGGGGAGCAAAC